Molecule: ribosomal RNA, 318 nt
Filed under: Triticum aestivum (bread wheat)
Lineage: Eukaryota; Viridiplantae; Streptophyta; Magnoliopsida; Poales; Poaceae
Description: partial small subunit ribosomal RNA
Source: RNAcentral
AUGGACGCCGCCGUCUCGCCAAUCUCGCCCACCCACACUAGAUCCCGGCGCUCCAUGGAGACUUGGGGAAGACACGUCCCCCAACUCUAUAAUGCCGCCUCCAGCGCCGCCGUGGAGGAACCGGAGUUGCGGAAGAUGUAUUGGACACUAGUGCGCGGCCACCACCCGGACGAAGCCAAACGAAAACCUAACCCUACAGCUAUCUACAAACGGAAUGCAUGCACCACUCGGCCAACUAUUCACACGACCAACGCGUCGCCGCUCUCGGUCCGCAUGUAUGUAUGGCGCGCCCCGCCGGUCGCCGACGCGUACGUUUGA